This 388-nucleotide ribosomal RNA is filed under the name uncultured bacterium. RNAcentral describes it as "bacterial SSU rRNA". It matches the Rfam family "Bacterial small subunit ribosomal RNA", at positions 29 to 430 of the family's 1533-position model. The record is from RNAcentral.
AACGAACGCUGGCGGCAGGCCUAACACAUGCAAGUCGAACGCCGUAGCAAUACGGAGUGGCAGACGGGUGAGUAACGCGUGGGAACAUACCCCCCGGUUCGGAAUAACUCAGGGAAGCUUGAGCUAAUACCGGAUACGUCCGAGGUUUUAAUCGACCUUGGAGAAAGAUUUAUCGCCGGAGGAUUGGCCCGCGUCUGAUUAGCUUGUUGGUGAGGUAAUGGCUCACCAAGGCGACGANCAGUAGCUGGUCUGAGAGGAUGAUCAGCCACAUUGGGACUGAGACACGGCCCAAACUCCUACGGGAGGCAGCAGUGGGGAAUAUUGGACAAUGGGCGAAAGCCUGAUCCAGCCAUGCCGCGUGAGUGAUGAAGGCCUUAGGGUUGUAAAG